RNAcentral lists this ribosomal RNA (253 nucleotides) under uncultured bacterium. RNAcentral describes it as "partial 16S ribosomal RNA". It matches the Rfam family "Bacterial small subunit ribosomal RNA", at positions 524 to 776 of the family's 1533-position model. The record is from RNAcentral.
UACGUAGGGUGCGAGCGUUAAUCGGAAUUACUGGGCGUAAAGCGUGCGCAGGCGGUUCGUUAAGCCAGAUGUGAAAGCCCCGGGCUCAACCUGGGAACUGCAUUUGAAACUGGCGGGCUUGAGUAUGGCAGAGGGGGGUGGAAUUCCGCGUGUAGCAGUGAAAUGCGUAGAGAUGCGGAGGAACACCGAUGGCGAAGGCAGCCCCCUGGGCCAAUACUGACGCUCAGGCACGAAAGCGUGGGGAGCAAACAGG